Oryza sativa Japonica Group (Japanese rice) is the source of this 206-nucleotide microRNA precursor. It matches the Rfam family "MIR812 microRNA precursor family". The record is from Rfam. NCBI's taxonomy places the organism in Eukaryota, Viridiplantae, Streptophyta, Magnoliopsida, Poales, Poaceae.
UUUAAAUGCAACCAUGAGUUUCCGUGUUCAACUUUAGUCGUCCGUCUUAUUUGAAAAUUUUUUAUAAUUAGUAUUUUUGUUGUUAUGAGAUGAUAAAAUAUGAACAGCACUUUAUGUGUGACUUAUGUGUUUUAAUUUUUCUUAAAUAAAUUUCAAAUAAGACGGACGAUCAAAGUUGGGCACGGAUAUUCAUGCUUGCACUUAAA